Molecule: ribosomal RNA, 465 nt
Filed under: uncultured bacterium
Lineage: Bacteria
Description: partial 16S ribosomal RNA
Rfam family: Bacterial small subunit ribosomal RNA
Source: RNAcentral
CCUACGGGAGGCAGCAGUAGGGAAUCUUCCACAAUGGGCGAAAGCCUGAUGGAGCAACGCCGCGUGGGUGAAGAAGGUCUUCGGAUCGUAAAACCCUGUUGUUAGAGAAGAAAGUGCGUGAGAGUAACUGUUCACGUUUCGACGGUAUCUACCCAGAAAGCCCCGUCUAACUACGUGCCAGCAGCCGCGGUAAUACGUAGGUGGCAAGCGUUAUCCGGAUUUAUUGGGCGUAAAGGGAACGCAGGCGGUCUUUUAAGUCUGAUGUGAAAGCCUUCGGCUUAACCGGAGUAGUGCAUUGGAAACGGGGAGACUUGAGUGCAGAAGAGGAGAGUGGAACUCCAUGUGUAGCGGUGAAAUGCGUAGAUAUAUGGAGGAACACCGGUGGCGAAGGCGGCUUACUGGACCAUAACUGACGUUGAGGCUCGAAAGCGUGGGGAGCGAACAGGAUUAGAUACCCUGGUAGUC